GAGAAAACACCGGUUCCCGUACGAUCAAGGAAUUUAAGCAAUGUCCAGCUUGAUCAGUACCUAGAUGGGUGACUGCUUGGGAAUACCAAGUGCUGUAAG
This is a non-coding RNA of Acanthosepion pharaonis, 99 nucleotides long. The record is from the annotation of a GenBank genome assembly. NCBI's taxonomy places the organism in Eukaryota, Metazoa, Mollusca, Cephalopoda, Sepiida, Sepiidae.